CCUACGGGAGGCAGCAGUGGGGAAUAUUGCACAAUGGGGGAAACCCUGAUGCAGCGACGCCGCGUGAGCGAUGAAGUAUUUCGGUAUGUAAAGCUCUAUCAGCAGGGAAGAAAAUGACGGUACCUGACUAACAAGCCCCGGCUCACUACGUGCCAGCAGCCGCGGGAAUACGUAGGGGGCCAGCGUUAUCCGGAUGUACUGGGUGUAAAGGGAGCGUAGACGGCGGUGCAAGCCAGAUGUGAAAGCCCGGGGGUGAAACCCGGGACUGCAUUUGAAACUGUGCUGCUAGAGUGUCGGAGAGGCAGGCGGAAUUCUUAGUGUAGCGGUGAAAUGCGUAGAUAUUAGGCGGAACACCAGUGGCGAAGGCGGCCUGCUGGACGAUGACUGACGUUGAGGCUCGAAAGCGUGGGGAGCGAACAGGAUUAGAUACCCGGGUAGUC
This 440-nucleotide ribosomal RNA is filed under the name uncultured bacterium. Its description in RNAcentral is "partial 16S ribosomal RNA". It matches the Rfam family "Bacterial small subunit ribosomal RNA", at positions 338 to 795 of the family's 1533-position model. The record is from RNAcentral.